Molecule: long non-coding RNA, 875 nt
Filed under: Rattus norvegicus (Norway rat)
Lineage: Eukaryota; Metazoa; Chordata; Mammalia; Rodentia; Muridae
Description: long non-coding RNA NONRATT000164
Source: RNAcentral
GACGAGUCCAUUUCAGAACAUCUUCAUCUUCCUUCUGCCCAGCACUGGCUCUCUAGUGCCCGGCUCUGGUGGAAAGUGUUCCUUCUGGGUAAUUGACUGUUACCAUGUAACGCUCAGUCUUUUCAAAACUGCUACAUAACUAUGCUGCUGGCGCCCCUUCUCACUCUACCUCUCUCUGCCCUCUUCAGAAGACACUUCCCAUAUCCGUUUCUGUGGUUCACCUUUCUCACGCUGACGUCUGGAACAGUUAGACAGGAACACACAGUUACGACCAGGGUGGGAUGUUACCCUGGUGUCCCAAGAAAGAAAUUAGUUUUUUCCUGCAAGCAGUCCCAUCAUGAAGCAGCCCCCACAUCACGUCAGCAAAUAGAUCUAUGUUGAAUCCAAACCCCAUUUCUAAUUCUGCUAGAUUGCAAUAGAUCUGCUUGCAAAGAAGAGAUUUUAGUGCUCCCUGAUGAAAACAUGGAAAUAUGCAAGAGAGAAUUCAAUGGCAUUCCCAGUCUCUCUCUUGCAGACACUGAAUAAAAGGUAUAGGCAGACCCCAAAGCUACCUAAGACCCCAGUCCCUUGUCAGAAGAGCAGUCUCUUUCAAAGUGGCCACUCAUCAGCCAGGCCCACAACAGACUCCCAGCACAUAACACCAAGCCCUUGUCUCUGAUCUCCCAGGAAGCCUGGUGUUCUCCCUCCACUCACCCAAAUCCGACUUCUGGAAGCCCAGGAAGGAGUCACAGCCUGCUUGACAUUUCCUGGUGAUACCAAGUUGCUGCUCUGUCCUAAAAAAUUAGUUGUUUUCCAGGGCUUUCAGAAAUUUACAGAAUGCCCGUACUCUAAAUGUGUACCAAAAAGAGAGAGAAAUAAAGGCACAAAGAAAGUUU